UGUGAAAAAAUUCAUUCAUUUUUACUGUUAAAAACUACCGUAGCUGACAAAACAACUGGACAAUUACAUGUGACAUGCCACAUAUAACUCAUUUUGCAUAUAUGAAUAAUUUUUAACAGUAGAAAUGGAUGAAAUUUUUAACA
Molecule: non-coding RNA, 143 nt
Organism: Gossypium arboreum
Lineage: Eukaryota; Viridiplantae; Streptophyta; Magnoliopsida; Malvales; Malvaceae
Source: Rfam